GAAUGAUUUCUUAUUAAUAAAGAAACUGCCUAGGCCCAUUUGCAUUUGAUAGGCCAACCCUUAGGUGGGUGGAGAAAACAGAACAGAAUUGUGGGAAAAAGAAGCUGAGAGAGAGUCGCCAUGAUUCUCCCACUCCAGACAGACGCAGGUUAAGAUCCUCCCUGGUAAGCCAGCUCGUGGGCUACAUAGAAUAUUAGAAAUGGGUUAGAACAAUAUGUAAGAGCUAGCCAAUAAGAAGCUGGAACUAGCCGGGCCAGGCAGUGUUUGAAAGAA
Long non-coding RNA from Alexandromys fortis (reed vole), 273 nucleotides. RefSeq lists it as uncharacterized. The record is from RefSeq and is a predicted model, not a curated record. Lineage: Eukaryota; Metazoa; Chordata; Mammalia; Rodentia; Cricetidae. The transcript has 2 exons.